Molecule: ribosomal RNA, 468 nt
Filed under: uncultured bacterium
Lineage: Bacteria
Description: partial 16S ribosomal RNA
Rfam family: Bacterial small subunit ribosomal RNA
Source: RNAcentral
GACGAACGCUGGCGGCGUGCUUAACACAUGCAAGUCGAACGGAAAGGCCCUGCUUUUGUGGGGUGCUCGAGUGGCGAACGGGUGAGUAACACGUGAGUAACCUGCCCUUGACUUUGGGAUAACUUCAGGAAACUGGGGCUAAUACCGGAUAGGAGCUCCUGCUGCAUGGUGGGGGUUGGAAAGUUUCGGCGGUUGGGGAUGGACUCGCGGCUUAUCAGCUUGUUGGUGGGGUAGUGGCUUACCAAGGCUUUGACGGGUAGCCGGCCUGAGAGGGUGACCGGCCACAAUGGGACUGAGAUACGGCCCAGACUCCUACGGGAGGCAGCAGUGGGGAAUAUUGCACAAUGGGCGGAAGCCUGAUGCAGCAACGCCGCGUGCGGGAUGACGGCCUUCGGGUUGGAAACCGCUUUCGCCUGUGACGAAGCGUGAGUGACGGUAAUGGGUUAAGAAGCACCGGCUAACUACGUG